AGUGAACGUUGGCGGUAGGCCUAACACAUGCAAGUCGAACGGCAGCACAGUAAGAGCUUGCUCUUACGGGUGGCGAGUGGCGGACGGGUGAGGAAUACAUCGGAAUCUACUUUUUCGUGGGGGAUAACGUAGGGAAACUUACGCUAAUACCGCAUACGACCUACGGGUGAAAGCAGGGGAUCUUCGGACCUUGCGCGAUUGAAUGAGCCGAUGUCGGAUUAGCUAGUUGGCAGGGUAAAGGCCCACCAAGGCGACGAUCCGUAGCUGGUCUGAGAGGAUGAUCAGCCACACUGGAACUGAGACACGGUCCAGACUCCUACGGGAGGCAGCAGUGGGGAAUAUUGGACAAUGGGCGCAAGCCUGAUCCAGCCAUACCGCGUGGGUGAAGAAGGCCUUCGGGUUGUAAAGCCCUUUUGUUGGGAAAGAAAAGCAGCAGGUUAAUACCCCGCUGUUCUGACGGUACCCAAAGAAUAAGCACCGGCUAACUUCGUG
Molecule: ribosomal RNA, 492 nt
Filed under: uncultured bacterium
Lineage: Bacteria
Description: partial 16S ribosomal RNA
Rfam family: Bacterial small subunit ribosomal RNA
Source: RNAcentral